Molecule: long non-coding RNA, 365 nt
Organism: Saccostrea cuccullata (small rock oyster)
Lineage: Eukaryota; Metazoa; Mollusca; Bivalvia; Ostreida; Ostreidae
Exons: 4
Source: RefSeq, a predicted model, not a curated record
AAGGAAAAAUACAACUGUUUAUGCGGCAGUUAUUAAAGAUUGUGGCCCUGGUUUAAUAGGACGAGAUUGUGAUAUUCCUUGUCCUUAUCCAGGGUUUGGGAAAGGAUGCCAGGAAACAUGUAAUUGCGGAGUGGAAUAUUGUGAUAGGGAACAUGGAUGCCAAGAUGGUUCUCAAACUCUUUCUCCGGCAGCAAUAACAGGCACCAGUAAGCUGUAUUUCAAAACAAGGAAUAUUUCCAUAUGUCAAACUGGGUUCUUUGGAAUCAAAUGUGAAGAUAAAUGUCGAUACCCAAGUUAUGGCCACAAUUGUCAACAACAAUGUUUGUGCAGAGAGGACCUGUGCAAUCAUGUCUCUGGAUGUCUAA